CCUACGGGAGGCAGCAGUAGGGAAUAUUGCUCAAUGGGGGAAACCCUGAAGCAGCAACGCCGCGUGGAGGAUGAAGGUUUUCGGAUUGUAAACUCCUUUUGUUAGAGAAGAUAAUGACGGUAUCUAACGAUUCAGCACCGGCUAACUCCGUACCAGCAGCCGCGGUAAUACGGAGGGUGCAAGCGUUACGCGGAAUCACUGGGCGUAACGAUCGCGGAGGCGGGAUAGCAAGUCAGAUGUGAAAGCCUAUGGCUUAACCAUAGAACUGCAUUUGAAACUGGUAUUCUAGAGUAUGGGAGAGGUAGGUGGAAUUCUUGGUGUAGGGGUAAAAUCCGUAGAGAUAAAGAGGAAUACUCAUUGCGAAGGCGACCUGCUAGAACAUAACUGACGCUGAUGUGCGAAAGCGUGGGGAGCAAACAGGAUUAGAUACCCCAGUAGUC
This 440-nucleotide ribosomal RNA is filed under the name uncultured bacterium. Its description in RNAcentral is "partial 16S ribosomal RNA". It matches the Rfam family "Bacterial small subunit ribosomal RNA", at positions 338 to 795 of the family's 1533-position model. The record is from RNAcentral.